UGAACGCUGGCGGCAAGCCUAACACAUGCAAGUCCACCGGAAGCGAAAAGGAAGCUUGCUUUCUUGUCGGCGAGCGGCAAACGGGUGAGUAAUAUCUGGGAAUCUACCCAAAAGAGGGGGAUAACUACUAGAAAUGGUAGCUAAUACCGCAUAAAGUCGAAAGACCAAAGUGGGGGACUUUAAUAAGCCUCAUGCUUUUGGAUGAGUCCAGACGAGAUUAGCUUGUUGGCAAGGUAAAAGCUUACCAAGGCUACGAUCUCUAGCUGGUCUGAGAGGAUAACCAGCCACACUGGAACUGAGACACGGUCCACACUCCUACGGGAGGCAGCAGUGGGGAAUAUUGCACAAUGGGCCAAAGCCUGAUGCAGCUAUGCCGCGUGUAUGAAGAAGGCCUUAGGGUUGUAAAGUACUUUCCGCGGGGAGGAAAGGAAUAAAACUAAUAAUUUUAUUUUUUGACGUUACCCGAAGAAGAAGCACCGGCUAACUCCGUGCCCCCAGCCGCGGUAAUACGGAGGGUGCUAGCGUUAAUCAGAAUUACUGGGCGUAAAGAGCACGUACGUGGUUUUUUAAGUCAUAUGUGAAAUUCCUGUGUUUAACCUAUGAACUGCUUUUGAACACUGAAAUGCUUAGAGUAUCGUAGAGGGAGGUAGAAUUCUAGGUGUAGCGGUGAAAAUGCGUAGAUAUCUGGAGGAGUACCUGUGGCGAAAGCGGCCUCCUAAACGAAUACUGACACUGAGGUGCGAAAGCGUGGGGAGCAAACAGGAUUAGAUACCCUGGUAGUCCAUGCCGUAAACGAUGUCGACUUGGAGGUUGUUUCCAUGAGAAGUGACUUCCGAAGCUAACGCAUUAAGUCGACCGCCUGGGGAGUACGGCCGCAAGGCUAAAACUCAAAUGAAUUGACGGGGGCCCGCACAAGCGGUGGAGCAUGUGGUUUAAUUCGGUGCAACGCGAAAAACCUUACCUGGUCUUGACAUCCACAGAAUUCCUUAGAAAUAAGGAAGUGCCUUCGGGAGCUGUGAGACAGGUGCUGCAUGGCUGUCGUCAGCUCGUGUUGUGAAAUGUUGGGUUAAGUCCCGCAACGAGCGCAACCCUUAUCCCCUGUUGCCAUCGGUUCGGCCGGGAACUCAGAGGAGACUGCCGGUUAUAAACCGGAGGAAGGUGGGGACGACGUCAAGUCAUCAUGGCCCUUACGACCAGGGCUACACACGUGCUACAAUGGUUUAUACAAAGAGAAGCAAAUCUGUAAAGACAAGCAAACCUCACAAAGUAAAUCGUAGUCCGGACUGGAGUCUGCAACUCGACUCCACGAAGUCGGAAUCGCUAGUAAUCGUGGAUCAGAAUGCCACGGUGAAUACGUUCCCGGGCCUUGUACACACCGCCCGUCACACCAUGGGAGUGGGUUGCAAAAGAAGCAGAUAGCCCAACCUUUUAAAGGAAGGCGUCUACCACUUUGUGAUUCAU
RNAcentral lists this ribosomal RNA (1461 nucleotides) under uncultured organism. Its description in RNAcentral is "16S ribosomal RNA". It matches the Rfam family "Bacterial small subunit ribosomal RNA". The record is from RNAcentral.